This is a long non-coding RNA of Suricata suricatta (meerkat), 512 nucleotides long. RefSeq lists it as uncharacterized. Lineage: Eukaryota; Metazoa; Chordata; Mammalia; Carnivora; Herpestidae. The transcript is spliced from 2 exons. The record is from RefSeq and is a predicted model, not a curated record.
AGCAACGAUAUCCCAUCUGUACCCUUCCGCCACAUUGUGGGUGGGGUCCGCCGGGUCCAGGAUGAUGGGCCUGCAACACAGGGAGAGGGUCCCAGGCUCUCUCCUGGCUGGAGGCCAGCGAGCCAGAAAGAAUCCUGCUCAAGCGAACAUCUAUUCAAACCACUGAGCAUGUGCUGUGUCUGGAGGCCAGGGCUGUCAGGCCAAGAAGGCCCAAGAACAUUGCUGGAGACGAACUGAGAGGGGGAUGAUUAUAUUUCCAAGAAUUUCUUUUGGGGAGAGGAUCCCACUUCUGACACCUUCUCUACAAAGCAACUCCUGGCAACGACUCUGAUUAACAGGUGCUGGCACAAACGAAACCUGAUCAUCCGAGGUUGUAGCUGAUACUGCUUGCUUUGAACAUUGAGGACUUUUUGCCUGAGGACAAACCCAAGUGUUGGAGAGUUAACGGUCCUGGAAGCAGCCUCACCCAGGGAUGAUGGGAAGUUGGGCAAUAAACUUCAACAUCCCACUUA